AGACAAAUCUGCUUAUUAAUUAUGUCUGCUUAUUAAUUCUUCUUGUUCGUGUCUUUUAUGUUCAUGACUCAUAUCCAUGUGGGACGGUAUCAUACUUUAUGAGUUAUUUUCAGUUGGUAGAGAGGAAUCCAUCCCACCUUCUUUUUUUGUUGAUCACACCCCACUUUUAUUUCAACAUUAUGCUUUUCAAAUUCAGGGUAAAGUAGGGGCCCAGCUCUUGAAUUGUAUUAUUAUUUGAAUUAUACACGUAUAAAUUUAAAGACAAAUUGCAAAUGGAUAUAUCUAUGUAAUUGAUUUCAACG
RNAcentral lists this long non-coding RNA (302 nucleotides) under Trifolium pratense (red clover). RNAcentral describes it as "long non-coding RNA (TPRA_LNC001046)". Lineage: Eukaryota; Viridiplantae; Streptophyta; Magnoliopsida; Fabales; Fabaceae. The record is from RNAcentral.